RNAcentral lists this ribosomal RNA (813 nucleotides) under Triticum aestivum (bread wheat). RNAcentral's name for it is "partial small subunit ribosomal RNA". Lineage: Eukaryota; Viridiplantae; Streptophyta; Magnoliopsida; Poales; Poaceae. The record is from RNAcentral.
AUGUCGCAAGCGAUGCCGUCGCCGGGUGGCUAUUUCGUGGCGUUGCUGAACAGCAGCUUGGCAGAUCAUGGACGCCUAGGUUGGACAUGGCGAGGUGAGCAGGGCCACAUCGACACGAGACGAAUCAACAAUUGGUUUCAAGAGGAGUCCUGGCACCGUGGCGAUCCUGAGUUGCAGCCGGAGAAUGGCCGUAUUUUUCUCCCUCAGACUUCUGGAAUGGAGGAGCCAGAGAGUUUUUCCUCUGAUGAUUUCUGCACGGCGGUUUUACUUCUAUCACGGGAACUGCUGUGUGGCUCUGCCUACAUCUCUUUCUGCCGUUGGAAUUAUGGUGCCCGGUGUUCAUAUGGGCAGCUUGAGUAUCGGACAAACCUUGGUUUUGAAGGUCUACCAGAAACUGCCUGGGAACAGGAAGCAAUGAGGUUUAUUGUUGCAGGUUCGAGAGGUGAUCUCAUUGCGAUAUUGCCGUCCGACGAUCGGUGGGUAAUUGAAGUAGCUACAUGGCUUGCCAAUCCUAACAAGGUACCUAAAUCAGUAGAAAUAGAGGUGCCGACGCCACCUCUGCCGCUUUGGAAGCCAGAUUCUGACGAUGAAGGAGAAUCGCCACCACGUCCAUCAUCACCUACCAGUAGGAAAGCGAUGGUUUUCCCUUUGAUUAUUCAUGUGAAAGAGGUCUUGGACCGUGGUCCCUUGAUGUCUGAAUUGCCAUCUAAAUAUCUUCCUAACGAAGGCGUGGAUCUAUCUCGAAUCCAUGUGUUCGACACUUGGCGUGGAAAAGUUGAUGGCAGUGGCCCUGAUGAUAAUGGAAAGGCGUAG